RNAcentral lists this ribosomal RNA (192 nucleotides) under uncultured bacterium. Its description in RNAcentral is "partial 16S ribosomal RNA". It matches the Rfam family "Bacterial small subunit ribosomal RNA", at positions 328 to 535 of the family's 1533-position model. The record is from RNAcentral.
ACGCUCGACACCUACGGGAGGAGCAGUGGGGAAUAUUGCACAAUGGGGGAAACCCUGAUGCAGCGACGCCGCGUGGAGGAAGAAGGUCUUCGGAUUGUAAACUCCUGUUGUUGGGGAAAAAGAGGAUGGUACCCAACAAGGAAGUGACGGCUAACUACGUGCCGNNCGCGGAGUAUNGNGGCGGNGNGAGAG